CAAGUAGAGGUUGCGCGAAGCAAGAGUAAGGUAUCGGAUGUUCCAGAGACAGAAGAAGAUGCCGGAAAGGGCGGGCGCCGAAGAUUUUCAGAGUUUCUGGAUUUGGAGAUCUGGGUGUAUGGUGAAGAACCGUAUGACUGUCAUCCUGGCGGAUGGAGAGCUACUU
This 166-nucleotide non-coding RNA is filed under the name human gut metagenome. RNAcentral's name for it is "Lysine riboswitch". It matches the Rfam family "Lysine riboswitch aptamer". Rfam says of the family: Riboswitches are metabolite binding domains within certain messenger RNAs that serve as precision sensors for their corresponding targets. Allosteric rearrangement of mRNA structure is mediated by ligand binding, and this results in modulation of gene expression. The record is from RNAcentral.